This 335-nucleotide ribosomal RNA is filed under the name uncultured Actinomyces AM2. RNAcentral describes it as "bacterial SSU rRNA". It matches the Rfam family "Bacterial small subunit ribosomal RNA", at positions 25 to 341 of the family's 1533-position model. The record is from RNAcentral. Lineage: Bacteria; Bacillati; Actinomycetota; Actinomycetes; Actinomycetales; Actinomycetaceae.
CAGGACGAACGCUGGCGGCGUGCUUAACACAUGCAAGUCGAACGGUGAAGGGACUGGUUUUGCUGGUUCUGGAUGAGUGGCGAACGGGUGAGUAACACGUGAGUAACCUGCCCCCUUCUUCUGGAUAACCGUAUGAAAGUGUGGCUAAUACGGGAUAUUCUGUGCCUGCUGCAUGGUGGGUGUGGGAAAGAUGCGCCUUUGGGUGUUUUUGGUGGGGGAUGGGCUCGCGGCCUAUCAGCUUGUUGGUGGGGUGAUGGCCUACCAAGGCGGUGACGGGUAGCCGGCCUGAGAGGGUGGACGGUCACACUGGGACUGAGACACGGCCCAGACUCCUA